Molecule: transfer RNA, 94 nt
Filed under: Klebsiella pneumoniae
Lineage: Bacteria; Pseudomonadati; Pseudomonadota; Gammaproteobacteria; Enterobacterales; Enterobacteriaceae
Description: tRNA-Tyr
Rfam family: tRNA
About the family: Transfer RNA (tRNA) molecules are approximately 80 nucleotides in length. Their secondary structure includes four short double-helical elements and three loops (D, anti-codon, and T loops). Further hydrogen bonds mediate the characteristic L-shaped molecular structure. tRNAs have two regions of fundamental functional importance: the anti-codon, which is responsible for specific mRNA codon recognition, and the 3' end, to which the tRNAs corresponding amino acid is attached (by aminoacyl-tRNA synthetases). tRNAs cope with the degeneracy of the genetic code in two manners: having more than one tRNA (with a specific anti-codon) for a particular amino acid; and 'wobble' base-pairing, i.e. permitting non-standard base-pairing at the 3rd anti-codon position.
Source: RNAcentral
GGUGGGGUUCCCGAGCGGCCAAAGGGAGCAGACUGUAAAUCUGCCGNNUCUGCCGUCAUCGACUUCGAAGGUUCGAAUCCUUCCCCCACCACCA